RNAcentral lists this long non-coding RNA (788 nucleotides) under Homo sapiens (human). RNAcentral's name for it is "long non-coding RNA NONHSAT077401.2". The record is from RNAcentral. Lineage: Eukaryota; Metazoa; Chordata; Mammalia; Primates; Hominidae.
CUGGAAGUAACUGAAGGCCCCCUCAACCUGGCUCAUCAUCAAAGCAGACUGUUGACUAGCUGCAGGCAAAUAUGAAGAGGCUAUUUCCUGUCACAAAAAGGCCAUGCUGUAUCUUUCUGAAGCUAUGGAGCUGACGCAGGCUGAGUAGGCUCACCUUUCACUGGAAUUGCAAAGGCCUAGCCACAUGAAACCGCGCCUCCUCAUCCAGGAGACACGGAAAAGGGCCCAGCAGAACGCAGACAAGGAUGGGGCUGCCCAUCUUCAGGCCUCUCACAGCCCCUCUGCUGAAGAUGCAGAAGCACAGCCCUCCACAGAGGAACGCCUGCCUGAGACUCGGGGCAUAUGUGACAGGGAUCCAGACACACGACUGUUUUUCCUUCAGCAACAGAGCCGUGUAUUGGAAGCAAAGCCCCAAAACACGAUAAGAGUAGAGGAGCAGACAACCCAGUUGCAGAUUUGAAGAAGCAUGUGGAAUUCCUUGUGGCGGAGAAGGAAAGAUUAUGGAAAGAAAGUAAACAGGUAAAGGCUGAAAAGGCCAGACUUCUAAAAGGUCCAGUAGAAAAGGAGCUGGAUGUGGGUGCUGAUUUUGUGGAAAAGUCAGAGUUACGGAGCUCGCCUCUGCAUUCAGAAACUGCUAUACCCUCUUCAGCCUUGCAGAGGUUUGCAGCAGAUGCCAGGAAAGCCAAGUACAUUCCAAUACCCAAUCUUUUCCCUCAGAUUUUCCAUCUCCAGAGCUUCCCUUUAUGGAGCUUUCUGAGGAUAUUCUGAAAGGAUUUAUGAGUAACUAA